UUUGUAUUCCCAAUAUAUUCUUCUUCUUCUCUUCUUCAAAUCACCGGCACCUCUCUCCCUUUCUUUUCUACAUUGCACGUUGCAAGCUAAUGGGACUCUGUUUCAGCAAAAAGAUGAAGGAGGAGAAAGAGAAGGACGAAACAGAUGACAAGAAAGCAGAGAUGCCGCCUCAGAAGGAGGUGGAAGCCACCGCCGAGAAGCAUAAGGUGUUUGUGAGCAGCAAGUGUUUAGCCGCUGUUGAAGACGAAGGGAAGAAGAGAGGAGUAAAGCCCGGGAAGGAUGCUGGCGAAGAAAUCGAGGUUGAGGGAAAGGGAGGGGUUCCGGUGUCCGUGGUGGAGGAAAUCAAGCCUUCUGCCGUGGUACGGACCUCGAGCUGCACCAACGAGGAGGUAGACGCCAUCCUGAUCCAGUGCGGCCGCCUCAGCCGCAGCUCCUCUGGGAACGCCUCUAACGAGGGAGGACUCGGGCAUCGGAAGCACUCGGGGUCCAAGCGCAGCUAUGACUUCGACAACGAGAGGAAGGGGGACGAGGAGGACGGCGAGGAGAAAGCGGCUUCGAGGCCCUCCCCGCGCCGGCGAGCAGCUAGCCGGGAGAGGUCCGGGAGCAGGGAGCGGAGCGGCGGCGGAGGGCGUAGGGUGAGCCGGUCCCCUGGGAGGCGCUCGGAAGCUCUGUCGGGAGCAAAUAUUUGCGACAAGUCCCAGCAGCCGACCAAGAUGGUUGCCGUUCCGGCGAGGGAGAAAGGUAGGGGAACCUCACCUUGCUCCUCCCACAAGAGAGGCGGAACCUCGCCUCGGUCGAGGUCUCCUGCGAGUGCAUCCUGGACGCUGUCUAAUGAGAACGCCGCAAGUAAUCAGGUGCAGUUUCACAGCCGGAGCUCGUCGAGGAAGACAGAGCGAUCGCCUUUCCGGCGGAAUCCGAUGGCAGAGAUCGAUGAAAAUUCAGUCAAAACAGGCCAAAACCUGAGCAUCGACCACAAGAAAUCAAGUGAAAGAAGUGCUCAAAUAAUCAAAUCCUCGCAAAGAACUGAAGCAACCGAAGAAAUACAAAGCAACCAGGUUACAGCUGCGUCAACAAGCCUCGAGGUGGAAAACCACCAGCUGACGACCAUGUCAGCAACCAGGUCUUCCCGGAGGACAACUUCCAGAGACCUCGACCAAAUACCGAGUCGCAAUUCCUACUCUUCUUCGGCUCCGGAGGUCAUCCACAACGCGGCUUUCUCCCUCCCAGCAUGCUUGUCCAAAGCCUGUUCCAUCCUCGAAGCCGUGGCCGAUCUCAACUCCACGGGAGGCCAUUCCACUAACGCCGGCAACAUGUUCGACGAAUGGAGUGAGAGAAGAGGAUCAUUUGUGGAGACUGAGAUAGUUGUGAAGGAUGAUCUCAUGGAGCCGAGCAUUCACAGGUACGUCACCGUGAGGCAAUCCAGGGCUGAGUUGGAGCCCCAAGAAUCUGCGGGAAGCAACAGCUUCGUCGGCCAUCCUUGGGCCGCUGCUUCUUCCGUGCGGGAGCCGGAUUCCGUGGACUCCGCACGUACAUGGAGGUCAAACGACGAUGAAGAGGUGGAGCAAGAAGCCAAGGUGUCCUCGUUGAGCCAGCAAAAACAUCAUUCAGGAAUUCAGGGACGACGACCGAGGUGCACUAUCAACGGCAGCGGGAGUGACAACGGCCAUCCUCCACCGGAAUUAAAUGAGAACAAGAGCGGUGGCAAGGCUAACCGUACCCAAAUCAGUGGACUCUCGUCUACCGCUGCUCCUACUGCAACUAUUUAAGUAGCGGACGAUCUGUUGUGACCUUUGCAAAGCUAGAAUUUACUGCAACACGUACAGCUGUUCUGCUUGUUCUUUCCUCCUGCUGUUGAAGUGCAGUUGUAGUGCAGGGAAAGAUCCUCAUUGUGAUGUUAUAAGGUUAAAUUAAAAAGUAUACAAAACACAUGGCUGGUAUCAUCCACUGAAAUGACUUAUUCUGUAUGCAAACAAUGGGGUGCCUUUUUCUUUCUUAUCUAAACUAGAAGAGCA
Molecule: RNA transcript, 2012 nt
Organism: Zingiber officinale
Lineage: Eukaryota; Viridiplantae; Streptophyta; Magnoliopsida; Zingiberales; Zingiberaceae
Exons: 3
Source: RefSeq, a predicted model, not a curated record